This 482-nucleotide ribosomal RNA is filed under the name uncultured bacterium. RNAcentral's name for it is "partial 16S ribosomal RNA". It matches the Rfam family "Bacterial small subunit ribosomal RNA", at positions 30 to 507 of the family's 1533-position model. The record is from RNAcentral.
AUUGAACGCUGGUGGCAUGCCUUACACAUGCAAGUCGAACGGUAACGGGCCUUCGGGUGCCGACGAGUGGCGAACGGGUGAGUAAUACAUCGGAACGUGCCCGAUCGUGGGGGAUAACGAGGCGAAAGCUUUGCUAAUACCGCAUACGAUCUACGGAUGAAAGCAGGGGACCGCAAGGCCUUGCGCGGACGGAGCGGCCGAUGGCAGAUUAGGUAGUUGGUGGGAUAAAAGCUUACCAAGCCGACGAUCUGUAGCUGGUCUGAGAGGAUGAUCAGCCACACUGGGACUGAGACACGGCCCAGACUCCUACGGGAGGCAGCAGUGGGGAAUUUUGGACAAUGGGCGCAAGCCUGAUCCAGCCAUGCCGCGUGCAGGAUGAAGGCCUUCGGGUUGUAAACUGCUUUUGUACGGAACGAAAAGCCUUCUUUUAAUACAGGAGGGUCAUGACGGUACCGUAAGAAUAAGCACCGGCUAGCUACGUG